Molecule: ribosomal RNA, 446 nt
Filed under: uncultured bacterium
Lineage: Bacteria
Description: partial 16S ribosomal RNA
Rfam family: Bacterial small subunit ribosomal RNA
Source: RNAcentral
CCUACGGGUGGCAGCAGUCGAGAAUCAUUCACAAUGGGGGAAACCCUGAUGGUGCGACGCCGCGUGGGGGAAUGAAGGUCUUCGGAUUGUAAACCCCUGUCAUGUGGGAGCAAAUUAAAAAGAUAGUACCACAAGAGGAAGAGACGGCUAACUCUGUGCCAGCAGCCGCGGUAAUACAGAGGUCUCAAGCGUUGUUCGGAAUCACUGGGCGUAAAGCGGGCGUAGGCUGUUUCGUAAGUCGUGUGUGAAAGGCGCGGGCUCAACCCGCGGGCGGCACAUGAUACUGCGAGACUAGAGUGAUGGAGGGGGAACCGGAAUUCGCGGUGUAGCAGUGAAAUGCGUAGAUAUCGAGAGGAACACUCGUGGCGAAGGCGGGUUCCUGGACAUUAACUGACGCUGAGGCACGAAGGCCAGGGGAGCGAAAGGGAUUAGAUACCCCUGUAGUC